This 327-nucleotide unclassified non-coding RNA is filed under the name uncultured fungus. RNAcentral's name for it is "sequence contains ITS2". The record is from RNAcentral. Lineage: Eukaryota; Fungi.
AACGCAUCUUGCACCCUUUGGCAUUCCGAAGGGUAUGCCUGUUUGAGUGUCUUUAACGACCAUCGACGCCCACCGUGAUCGCGGUGGACGUCGGACGUGAGCGCUGCCGUGCGACUUUGUUUUCGCCGGCUCGCUUGAAAAGCGUUAAGCCCGGCCUUCAGCGGUCUGACUCUGUCAGGGUUGGUGUGGUAGAGCUCCCCUUCGGGUUGUGAAUCGCCUCCCAUGACGGACGUGAACCCUUGAGCCGCGUGCUUCAUACGUGUCCGCGUUCAACGCGGAACUCUUGAAUCGGACCUCAAAUCAGGUAGGACUACCCGCUGAACUUAA